RNAcentral lists this ribosomal RNA (515 nucleotides) under uncultured bacterium. Its description in RNAcentral is "partial 16S ribosomal RNA". It matches the Rfam family "Bacterial small subunit ribosomal RNA", at positions 28 to 523 of the family's 1533-position model. The record is from RNAcentral.
GAUGAACGCUGGCGGCGUGCCUAAUACAUGCAAGUCGAGCGAAUGGAUUAAGAGCUUGCUCUUAUGAAGUUAGCGGCGGACGGGUGAGUAACACGUGGGUAACCUGCCCAUAAGACUGGGAUAACUCCGGGAAACCGGGGCUAAUACCGGAUAACAUUUUGAACCGCAUGGUUCGAAAUUGAAAGGCGGCUUCGGCUGUCACUUAUGGGUGGACCCGCGUCGCAUUAGCUAGUUGGUGAGGUAACGGCUCACCAAGGCAACGAUGCGUAGCCGACCUGAGAGGGUGAUCGGCCACACGGGGACUGAGACACGGCCCAGACUCCUACGGGAGGCAGCAGUAGGGAAUCUUCCGCAAUGGACGAAAGUCUGACGGAGCAACGCCGCGUGAGUGAUGAAGGCUUUCGGGUCGUAAAACUCUGUUGUUAGGGAAGAACAAGGGCUAGUUGAAUAAGCUGGCACCUUGACGGUACCUAACCAGAAAGCCACGGCUAACUACGUGCCAGCCGCCGCGGUAA